CAGCACCUCAAGUGGUCAGGAUGAUUAUUGGGCCUAAAGCAUCCGUAGCCUGCUUUGCCAGUUUUCGGUUAAAUCUGUACGCUCAACGUACAGGCUGCCGGGAAUACUGCAGAGCUAGGGAGUGGGAGAGGUAGACGGUACUCGGUAGGAAGGGGUAAAAUCCUUUGAUCUAUUGAUGACCACCUGUGGCGAAGGCGGUCUACCAGAACACGUCCGACGGUGAGGGAUGAAAGCUGGGGGAGCAAACCGGAUUAGAUACCCGAGUAGUCC
Molecule: ribosomal RNA, 270 nt
Filed under: uncultured archaeon
Lineage: Archaea
Description: partial 16S ribosomal RNA
Rfam family: Archaeal small subunit ribosomal RNA
Source: RNAcentral